GAUGAACGCUGGCGGCGUGCUUAACACAUGCAAGUCGAACGGAAAGGCUCCUGCUUGCAGGGGUACUCGAGUGGCGAACGGGUGAGUAACACGUGGGUGAUCUGCCCUGCACUUCGGGAUAAGCCUGGGAAACUGGGUCUAAUACCGGAUAGGACGAUGGUUUGGAUGCCAUUGUGGAAAGUUUUUUCGGUGUGGGAUGAGCUCGCGGCCUAUCAGCUUGUUGGUGGGGUAAUGGCCUACCAAGGCGUCGACGGGUAGCCGGCCUGAGAGGGUGUACGGCCACAUUGGGACUGCGCUACGGCCCAGACUCCUACGGGAGGCAGCAGUGGGGAAUAUUGCACAAUGGGCGCAAGCCUGAUGCAGCGACGCCGCGUGGGGGAUGACGGCCUUCGGGUUGUAAACUCCUUUCGCUAGGGACGAAGCGCAAGUGACGGUACCUGGAGAAGAAGCACCGGCUAACUACGUG
This 466-nucleotide ribosomal RNA is filed under the name uncultured bacterium. Its description in RNAcentral is "partial 16S ribosomal RNA". It matches the Rfam family "Bacterial small subunit ribosomal RNA", at positions 28 to 507 of the family's 1533-position model. The record is from RNAcentral.